Molecule: long non-coding RNA, 1355 nt
Organism: Alexandromys fortis (reed vole)
Lineage: Eukaryota; Metazoa; Chordata; Mammalia; Rodentia; Cricetidae
Exons: 5
Source: RefSeq, a predicted model, not a curated record
AGCGUUUCCUCAAGCCUGCUGGGGUGGGAGGAGAGGAGGAGGUGGUGGUGGUGGUGGAGGAGGAGGCAGGGGGUGGAGAGAAAGAAAGCGCACGCCGAGAGGAGGUGUGGGUGUUUCUCUCCCAUCCUAACGGAACGAGCUCCCUCUUCGCGGAUAUGGGAUUGCCCAGCGGCUGCUAACCCCUCUCCUGGUCCUGCUCCCCCAAACCGGCGUGGCUCCCCGGUCACCAAGGAGCUGACUGCAAGGGAGCAGGAUUCGCAUCCUUGGCUGGGCGAGCUUUGACUACAGAGUACCUGACCUGGGUCAGGAUUUUCAACAAAGACAUGUCUGACAAAAUGUCUAGUUUCCUACAUAUUGGAGACAUUUGUUCUCUGUAUGCGGAGGGAUCUACGAAUGGAUUUAUCAGCACCUUGGGCCUGGUUGAUGAUCGCUGUGUUGUGCAGCCAGAAGCUGGGGACCUUAACAAUCCACCCAAGAAAUUCAGAGGUUUUCUGGAUAUAAAGAGAUACAUUUCAGUUAGAUAAUCUUCAGUGCUUCAAAGACCUACAGAAUAUAGCAUUUAAACUGUUUCAAGUCUAGAUGGAUAAUCUUCAACACUUCAAAGACCUACAGAAUAUGGCAUUUAAAAUGUUUCAAGAACUUAGACUUUUCGUGACAGUGAGACAUGUCUGCAUCUGGCAAUACCAAUUACUUCAGAGAGGUUGAUGGGCAUUGAAGAAACUCAUUAUGGAAUUUGCCUUCAGUGUGACAAGGCUAACCAUUUGGGCAAGAAACUGGUCUUGCAUGGACUGCUUGAUGGUACACUGUAUGAACUGGACAUGCAGGGCCCACAGAAAAGUGACUGCAGAACUUUCCAGAAAAUGGAAUGCUUCUUUAGGAUUCCUGCUUCAUAGAAGAAAUUGCCAGACAUUAUGAAGGACACAGAAGAAAGCAACUAAUGAACUUUGCCAUUACAAGGCAGAACAGAUCUUCAAAUUUCCUGCCUCAUGGACAAGUUUGCCAGAUACUAUGGGCCUAUAGGCUGAAAUUGGAUGCCCCAGUGUUAUAGAAGAACUUUCAGUGACUGUCUGCAGUGAGAUGUCUCUCUCAAUUCUAAAGUUUUGGAAGUUUCUUACAAUGUACUUCCUAUUUACUUAGGUCAUAUUAUAUCCUUCUGGGGUCUUUGGUAUAGUUGAAGACAGAUAGUUAUAAUUUUCCUUAGUUAUGAUAAAAGAUAAAUUAGAUAUAAAACUUUAUACUCACAAAGAAAUAUUCUAUAAUUCUUGCUUAAUAACUGUUUUGUAUAUGUAAUUUUACUAUGUUAGAGUUAAAACCUUACUUUUAUUUAGACAGAAAAGGGGAGAUGAUGUGUGAUA